Molecule: small RNA, 559 nt
Filed under: Pongo abelii (Sumatran orangutan)
Lineage: Eukaryota; Metazoa; Chordata; Mammalia; Primates; Hominidae
Description: processed transcript
Source: RNAcentral
AUAGGCUGUGUUGUCACGCCGGUGUCAGUCUGAUGAAGAUUGGCAUCAGGUGAAGUCUGGAGCAGGACUUCUGAAGCUUUCUAUCCUCCAUGCUGCUCACUAGAAAAGGGGCUGUGAACUGUCCUCCAUGUGAAUCAAUCCCAUGAUGCAACAUGCCUCCCCAGCCCCCGCUCUGACGAUGAUGGCCACGCAGAAUGUCCCGCCCCCACCCUACCAGGACAGCCCACAGAUGACGGCAACCACCCAGCCACCCUCCAAGGCCCAGGCUGUCCACAUCUCUGCCCCCUCAGCUGCUGCCAGCACACCUGUGCCCAGUGCCCCCAUCGACCCCCAGGCCCAGCUGGAGGCUGACAAGCGAGCUGUAUACAGAUGGUGAAGGCAAUCCAGGUCCUGAGAAUCCACCUGCUGGAGCUGGAGAAAGUCAAUGAACUCUGCAAGGACUUUUGUAACCGUUACAUCACCUGCCUCAAAACCAAGAUGCACAGCGAUAACCUGCUCAGGAAUGAUCUAGGGGGGCCCUACUCCCCCAACCAGCCCUCCAUCAACCUUCACUCACAGG